Pogoniulus pusillus (Red-fronted tinkerbird) is the source of this 1058-nucleotide long non-coding RNA. RefSeq lists it as uncharacterized. NCBI's taxonomy places the organism in Eukaryota, Metazoa, Chordata, Aves, Piciformes, Lybiidae. The record is from RefSeq and is a predicted model, not a curated record. The transcript is spliced from 3 exons.
GCCCGGGCUCAGCCGCAGCCCAGCUGCCUCUGUCCCCCGCCCAGGCCCGCACACCCACCGGCUGGCGGAAACCAGGGCCGGCGCCCCGAGGCGCCGAGCCGCGCAGACUACAAAUCCCAGCAGAGCCGGGCCGAGCGCCCGGCCGCGCCGAGCGGCGCCGGGAGGCUGUGGCGGCACGCCGGGAAAUGGAGUCCGUACCGCGGCGCCAUCUCAGCCGCGCUCCCCGCUGCGCGGACGCGCGUAGCACCCGCGGGGUGAAGGCUGCCCGCUUGGGGCAGGCGGCCUGAUGGAGCUCAGCUGCCUGAAGAGGUCCCUGCUCACUGCAGGAGGGUCACUACAUCACCCUUAAAGGAAGAGCAGUGGCUAUUUACCUGCACUUCAGCAAAGCCAUUUGCCCCUGUUGUCCACAGCCUCGUUCUGGACAAGCUGGCCAGAUACAGACCGGAGUGGUAGUCCAUGAGGUUUACCAGGAGGAGGUUCUAAAUGCCUCCACACGGUCUGCCUGUAUAGCCAGUGUGACAUUGUGCUAAGACUGCACAUCACAGGACAUCCUGUCUACACCUGAAAGUCUCCUGCCAAGAGAAGAAGUCCUGGAGAUACACAGAUCAUCCAGAGGACCAAGUCAGAGAUUGGCUGCAUCCUUUCCCCAGCACUGUGAAACCUGGGAAGAAUCAGAAGCCUCUGCAGCUGACAAGACAGUAACAGAAUUCCCUGAAAGCAUUUGGGUACUGUCUAAAGCUGUAGCCAGCCCCAUGAGUUGUGAGAUAAUUUUGUGAGUAAAUACUUAAAGUCUCUUGUAAUUCACCAUUGCCUUCUGCCAUAAGCAGGAAUUUGCUCCUUGAGUCCAUCUAGUGGGCAAGCAGUGUAUUGACCACAGGAGCCUUCUUUCCACUUCAGUGAAGGUUUAUAUUUCUUGCUAGUUAUUUCUAGAUCUGGUUAUUGCUCUGUAUGUUUCCAUGACCGUGUGAAGAACUCAUUAUUAUUCAAAUUAGUAGUGGGGGUGGCAAGAGUUCUGAAGAUCAAAACUAAUAAACAAUAUUAAUUCUGGAAAAAUCUAA